This is a non-coding RNA of Acanthosepion pharaonis, 109 nucleotides long. The record is from the annotation of a GenBank genome assembly. Lineage: Eukaryota; Metazoa; Mollusca; Cephalopoda; Sepiida; Sepiidae.
ACGGUCAAAUGAUGCUGAAACACCUGUUCUCGUUUGACCACAGAAGUAAAGCCUUGUAGAGCCUGGUCAUUACUUAGGUGGGAGACUGCUUGGGAAUACCGGUCACCGU